Triticum aestivum (bread wheat) is the source of this 744-nucleotide long non-coding RNA. RefSeq lists it as uncharacterized. The transcript has 2 exons. Lineage: Eukaryota; Viridiplantae; Streptophyta; Magnoliopsida; Poales; Poaceae. The record is from RefSeq and is a predicted model, not a curated record.
UUGAUUGUCUACAAAAAAGAAUAGGUGGACACAUACCCUGCGCACCAAAAUCUUCAAACAAUCUCUCGCUCCAUGCCUUCCCUAAUCUACAUUAGUAAUCUUCCAUGAUUCAUCCAAGCCCUUUCCGAUCCAACAAAUCAUGCCCCGUUUCUCCCCAAAAAACGAUCUUCUGUUGGCCACAUGAAGAACAAUUGGAGCUCUCGACGGGAUGCGAGUAUCUAUCAGGUGGAUCCUUCCACCGUAACUUUAGAGUAGCUCCGGUUGCAGAGACGCUGAUCGAGAGCCAUGAAGAAAGCUGCGGGUCUCCGUAUGAAAGAUGCACCGGAUCCCCUAAUUUGGAUGUUGAAUCUGAGUCCUCGCCGUCAGAUUCAGGAUUCCCCACUUCCAGCAGCCGACAGAGAUGUUAAAUCGAGCAGCCCCAUCUCCAACAAAUCCGGAACAGAGCCAUGUUCAUGGCAGAGAAGGAAUAAACAAUCAAAAUAAAAGGUGGGCCACACAGCAAGGAAUUUGAGAAACCAGCCAACGUGGUUAAAAAAACAAAUAAGCAAUGUAACAAGCAGUGGCGGAGCUACCAAAAAAAUAUUGGGUGGGCCGGAUAGUAUAAAGAGUAGUAACAGAGUAAAAAAUCUAUAUUGUUGUGGGCUAGACUUCAUGUAAAACUUUAUUGCUUCAGCCAAGGGCGGGACAUGGCCCUUUCAGCCUUGCUGAAGCUCCGCCGGUGGUAACAAGGUGAUCUAUUAUUAA